Oncorhynchus gorbuscha (pink salmon) is the source of this 1971-nucleotide long non-coding RNA. RefSeq lists it as uncharacterized. The record is from RefSeq and is a predicted model, not a curated record. Lineage: Eukaryota; Metazoa; Chordata; Actinopteri; Salmoniformes; Salmonidae. The transcript is spliced from 3 exons.
CGUGAGAUUUUGAGUGAAAACCUCCUUCCAUCAGCAAGGGCAUUGAAGAUGAAACCUGGCUGGGUCUUUCAGCAUGACAAUGAUCCCAAACACACCGCCCGUGCAACGAAGGAGUGGCUUCGUAAGACUCAUUUCAAGGUCCCGGAAUGGCCUAGCCUGUCUUCAGAUCUCAACCUCAUAGAAAAUCUUUGGAGGGAGUUGAAAGUCAGUUGCCAAGCAACAGCCCCAAAACAUCACUGCUCUAGAGGAGAUCUGCAUGGAGGAAUGGGCCAAAAUACCAGCAACAGUGUGUGAACCUUGUGAAGUUUUACAGAAAACGUUUGACCCCUAUCAUUGCCAACAAAGGGUAUUUAAAGGUCAAAAACAUAUAUUUGUUGCGAGUUGAAAAGGGGGGUUUUUCACACCUAGCUCUUCUAUUAGACAAUUAUUUCGUAAAGGUUGAAUAUCGUCUAUUGUUCAGCUAAUAGCCCAUCCUAGAAACAUUGUUUCUAGAAUUCACAUCCUGCUACAGUACGCUUGUGAAAAAUAAAAUGCCGCCAGCUGUCAAUGCAUAUCUAAGGGGCUUUUAUAUAAUUAAUAUGCGGGCUUAAUAGUAAUAAUAAUACUUUUCCCCCUUUCCACUUGUUAAAGCCUGGAUUGUUACUCCCAUCUCGUUCCUUGCCUUUUUCCACGUGUCAUUCUCCGCCUGAGUGGCUCGCUUGUGGGCGUGUUGGCAGGAUAUGGCAGCAUCUUCGGUUGUGCGUCAAGAAGUCUACUUAGCAAGUUUCUAUGAAGUCUAGUUAUUCACAGGCAAAUAUUAAAUUGCUCUAAACCUCUCUGGUACAAACAAACACUUUGCUGCCCUGUUUUCAAUCGUCCACAUGGCUGGGAGAACCCAUUCAGGUAAUAAAUACAUUUUGAAAAUGUAAAAAAAAAAUAUAUUAUUAGUUAGAGUAACUAGCUACAGUGCAUUUUAACUCAAAUGAGCUGCUAAUGUAGCUAGCUGGUUUACAUACGGCAUAAAUGGCUAGCUAAGAUUUGACCAGCUACCCAACUUAAUUUUAGCUAGCUAUCUUGAUAUAUUUAACAUGGUAAAAUACAUCUGUAGGUAGCUAGCUAACAGCCCAGGACGGUGAAAGGAUAGCAGGCCCAGCUGUGGGAGAGCAUGCUAUUCUGGAUAGAAAAGGGUACUUUUGUGUAGUUCCAGUCCUUAGAAGUGAGGAUAGAGAAAAUCAUAUUCAGUGCUGUCUAAUUUUUUUUUUUGUCAUCUGAUAGAGAGAGCUGUGAAAGCCUGUUUGCAGAUGAAGAGUCCCAAUGAAGAGCAGCUGAAUCAAGUGACCAUGUCAUUAUCAAGCUUCAAGUGGUUUUUAUGUAUUCAUUUGUGAUGCUAUCCUUGAUAUGAUCCUGCUAUUGUCACAUGCUAGUCAUGUAUCUAUCCAAUGUUAUCAUGAUUUGUUAUAAGGAAUAUUAUACUUUAGUAAUUCACAAUGAUCUGGUAAUGUAAAAGUCUAAUGAGAUUAUUUUCUAUUGUUUGUCCUCGUGUGCCUGUUUUUCAGCAUAAAGUACUCUGUAGCCAAGUAGUGUGGACACCAGCUUAUAUCAGCUGUGUUGGUGAACCUCUCCCGCAUCUGAACUGGCUGACACAGAGGGAACAGCAUGAUCAUAGGUAUGUUUUGAUGUGAGAGAGGAAGCCAGUCCCGUCAUCGCCACCUCACCCACUCUUAAGAUAACUUUCGGGCCGACUGGGGGCCCAAGGCUGGUUUAGGAGACACUAUGUAAUUGUGAUGAACUGAGAGAAUAUUAGUGUAGCACUGUAAUUCAUUAAUUAUCUGCGGUCUUCCCUGCUCCUCUGUUCUUAUCUCUUUUUGCCUUUGUCUUCUACACCUCUCUCCCCACCUCUUUGUUCCUCUUUUUUUAUAAUGCACAUGUGCAUUGAAGUACAGAUUGAACUUGUAUUUAUAAUAUUUAUAAUGCAAGUAUUAUGCAUUUAUA